CACUGGCCUGGGGUCUAUCACUGACUUGCUGUGCAGCUUUAGUACUACCCCACUGGUGGAGAGAUGAGCAUCUGGUUCACAGACUUCCUGGGCAGCGGUGAGAGUUCACAUAGCAAUUCCCAACACAGGCCAUUCGCCCACCGCUGCCCAGCCCAACUCUCAAAGAGGCCGUCCGUCCUCUUGCACCUCGUUAGAAGGAAGGCUGAUGGGGUGACAACAUGAUCUUCCCGUUGAAAUCCCAAGCAGAUGGUGAAGCUCAGUCCAGCUUCGCCAGGAAGGAUGCUCCCGAAAGCCUCCCUACAGAGAGUGUAUUUCAAAGGACAGUUUGCCAGUGCUUCUUCCCCUCAUCUGGAGACCUCUGAGCACCUACAGACUUCAUCAUUCUUCACAGUCACCUGCCGCCAUGCUGCCCCAGCUCCCACUGGAGCUUUGGUUUCUCUUUUAAAGGUACGGCCAAUUCACAUCUGCAAAAUGCAAAGGUGGAAGCAGUUCAUAACUGUGGGUUUGAGAACCAGAACAAAAGACAGAGGGAAAUUCCCUUGUGACCUUGAUGUAAGUUUCAAAACUAGAACAAUCCCCUCCCUUUUAAAUGUCAGCAGGGCCAUAAAUUCUCAUGGAAGUAACUUCAAGUCAAGUCAAAAUCCUUCUCUCACAGGAGCAAAGAAAGUAACAGAGCAAAGAACCAUGUUCCCCCUGCACACCUUUUCAUGCUCCUGCACUAACGAAUCCCUUUCACUAAUUGUGUUGCAA
This is a long non-coding RNA of Gopherus flavomarginatus (Mexican gopher tortoise), 750 nucleotides long. RefSeq lists it as uncharacterized. The record is from RefSeq and is a predicted model, not a curated record. The transcript has 3 exons. NCBI's taxonomy places the organism in Eukaryota, Metazoa, Chordata, Testudines, Testudinidae.